GACGAACGCUGGCGGCGUGCCUAAUACAUGCAAGUAGAACGCUGAAGAGAGGAGCUUGCUCUUCUUGGAUGAGUUGCGAACGGGUGAGUAACGCGUAGGUAACCUGCCUUGUAGCGGGGGAUAACUAUUGGAAACGAUAGCUAAUACCGCAUAACAAUGGAUGACACAUGUCAUUUAUUUGAAAGGAGCAAUUGCUCCACUACAAGAUGGACCUGCGUUGUAUUAGCUAGUAGGUGAGGUAAUGGCUCACCUAGGCGACGAUACAUAGCCGACCUGAGAGGGUGAUCGGCCACACUGGGACUGAGACACGGCCCAGACUCCUACGGGAGGCAGCAGUAGGGAAUCUUCGGCAAUGGGGGCAACCCUGACCGAGCAACGCCGCGUGAGUGAAGAAGGUUUUCGGAUCGUAAAGCUCUGUUGUAAGUCAAGAACGGGUGUGAGAGUGGAAAGUUCACACUGUGACGGUAGCUUACCAGAAAGGGACGGCUAACUACGUGCCAGCAGCCGCGGUAAUACGUAGGUCCCGAGCGUUGUCCGGAUUUAUUGGGCGUAAAGCGAGCGCAGGCGGUUUGAUAAGUCUGAAGUUAAGGCUGUGGCUCAACCAUAGUUCGCUUUGGAAACUGUCAAACUUGAGUGCAGAAGGGGAGAGUGGAAUUCCAUGUGUAGCGGUGAAAUGCGUAGAUAUAUGGAGGAACACCGGUGGCGAAAGCGGCUCUCUGGUCUGUAACUGACGCUGAGGCUCGAAAGCGUGGGGAGCGAACAGGAUUAGAUACCCUGGUAGUCCACGCCGUAAACGAUGAGUGCUAGGUGUUGGAUCCUUUCCGGGAUUCAGUGCCGCAGCUAACGCAUUAAGCACUCCGCCUGGGGAGUACGACCGCAAGGUUGAAACUCAAAGGAAUUGACGGGGGCCCGCACAAGCGGUGGAGCAUGUGGUUUAAUUCGAAGCAACGCGAAGAACCUUACCAGGUCUUGACAUCCCGAUGCUAUUUCUAGAGAUAGAAAGUUACUUCGGUACAUCGGUGACAGGUGGUGCAUGGUUGUCGUCAGCUCGUGUCGUGAGAUGUUGGGUUAAGUCCCGCAACGAGCGCAACCCCUAUUGUUAGUUGCCAUCAUUCAGUUGGGCACUCUAGCGAGACUGCCGGUAAUAAACCGGAGGAAGGUGGGGAUGACGUCAAAUCAUCAUGCCCCUUAUGACCUGGGCUACACACGUGCUACAAUGGUUGGUACAACGAGUUGCGAGUCGGUGACGGCGAGCUAAUCUCUUAAAGCCAAUCUCAGUUCGGAUUGUAGGCUGCAACUCGCCUACAUGAAGUCGGAAUCGCUAGUAAUCGCGGAUCAGCACGCCGCGGUGAAUACGUUCCCGGGCCU
RNAcentral lists this ribosomal RNA (1368 nucleotides) under uncultured bacterium. RNAcentral describes it as "bacterial SSU rRNA". It matches the Rfam family "Bacterial small subunit ribosomal RNA", at positions 28 to 1381 of the family's 1533-position model. The record is from RNAcentral.